AUUGAACGCUGGCGGCAGGCCUAACACAUGCAAGUCGAGCGGAUGAAGGGAGCUUGCUCCUGGAUUCAGCGGCGGACGGGUGAGUAAUGCCUAGGAAUCUGCCUGGUAGUGGGGGAUAACGUCCGGAAACGGGCGCUAAUACCGCAUACGUCCUGAGGGAGAAAGUGGGGGAUCUUCGGACCUCACGCUAUCAGAUGAGCCUAGGUCGGAUUAGCUAGUUGGUGGGGUAAAGGCCUACCAAGGCGACGAUCCGUAACUGGUCCGAGAGGAUGAUCAGUCACACUGGAACUGAGACACGGUCCAGACUCCUACGGGAGGCAGCAGUGGGGAAUAUUGGACCAUGGGCGAAAGCCUGAUCCAGCCAUGCCGCGUGUGUGAAGAAGGUCUUCGGAUUGUAAAGCACUUUAAGUUGGGAGGAAGGGCAGUAAGUUAAUACCUUGCUGUUUUGACGUUACCAACAGAAUAAGCACCGGCUAACUUCGUG
This 484-nucleotide ribosomal RNA is filed under the name uncultured bacterium. RNAcentral describes it as "partial 16S ribosomal RNA". It matches the Rfam family "Bacterial small subunit ribosomal RNA", at positions 30 to 507 of the family's 1533-position model. The record is from RNAcentral.